AUUGAACGCUGGCGGCAGGCCUAACACAUGCAAGUCGAACGGUAACAGAAAGCAGCUUGCUGCUUUGCUGACGAGUGGCGGACGGGUGAGUAAUGUCUGGGAAACUUCCUGAUGGAGGGGGAUAACUACUGGAAACGGUAGCUAAUACCGCAUAACGUCGCAAGACCAAAGAGGGGGACCUUCGGGCCUCUUGCCAUCGGAUGUGCCCAGAUGGGAUUAGCUUGUUGGUGGGGUAACGGCUCACCAAGGCGACGAUCCCUAGCUGGUCUGAGAGGAUGACCAGCCACACUGGAACUGAGACACGGUCCAGACUCCUACGGGAGGAAGCAGUGGGGAAUAUUGCACAAUGGGCGCAAGCCUGAUGCAGCCAUGCCGCGUGUAUGAAGAAGGCCUUCGGGUUGUAAAGUACUUUCAGCGGGGAGGAAGGGAGUAAAGUUAAUACCUUUGCUCAUUGACGUUACCCGCAGAAGAAGCACCGGCUAACUCCGUG
Molecule: ribosomal RNA, 490 nt
Filed under: uncultured bacterium
Lineage: Bacteria
Description: partial 16S ribosomal RNA
Rfam family: Bacterial small subunit ribosomal RNA
Source: RNAcentral